UACAGAGGUCCCGAGCGUUGUUCGGAUUCAUUGGGCGUAAAGGGUGCGUAGGCGGCUUCCUAAGUUUGAUGUGAAAUCCUGGGGCUCAACCCUGGAACUGCAUUGAAUACUGGGAGGCUAGAGUACUGGAGAGGAAACUGGAAUUUACGGUGUAGCAGUGAAAUGCGUAGAGAUCGUAAGGAAGACCAGUGGCGAAGGCGGCUAUCUGGAUGAGUAUUGACACUGAGGCUCGAAAGCGUGGGGAUCAAACAGG
RNAcentral lists this ribosomal RNA (253 nucleotides) under uncultured bacterium. RNAcentral's name for it is "partial 16S ribosomal RNA". It matches the Rfam family "Bacterial small subunit ribosomal RNA", at positions 524 to 776 of the family's 1533-position model. The record is from RNAcentral.